Molecule: ribosomal RNA, 460 nt
Filed under: uncultured bacterium
Lineage: Bacteria
Description: partial 16S ribosomal RNA
Rfam family: Bacterial small subunit ribosomal RNA
Source: RNAcentral
CCUACGGGUGGCAGCAGUGAGGAAUAUUGGUCAAUGGGCGAGAGCCUGAACCAGCCAAGUCGCGUGAGGGAAGACGGUCCUACGGAUUGUAAACCUCUUUUGUCAGGGAGCAAGGAGCGCCACGAGUGGCUCGUCGAGAGUACCUUAAGAAAAAGCAUCGGCUAACUCCGUGCCAGCAGCCGCGGUAAUACGGAGGAUGCGAGCGUUAUUCGGAUUUAUUGGGUUUAAAGGGUGCGCAGGCGGAAUCGGCAAGUCAGCGGUAAAAUUUCGGGGCGCAACCUCGCCGAGCCGUUGAAACUGGUAUUCUAGAGUGGGCGAGAAGUAGGCGGAAUGCGUGGUGUAGCGGUGAAAUGCAUAGAUAUCACGAAGAACUCCGAUUGCGAAGGCAGCAUACCGGCGCCCAACUGACGCUCAUGCACGAAAGCGUGGGUAUCGAACAGGAUUAGAUACCCGAGUAGUC